This 30-nucleotide non-coding RNA is filed under the name Rattus norvegicus (Norway rat). Lineage: Eukaryota; Metazoa; Chordata; Mammalia; Rodentia; Muridae. The record is from RNAcentral.
UACAGAUGGAAAACCGAGGCUCAGAGAUUA